AUUGAACGCUGGCGGAAUGCUUUACACAUGCAAGUCGAACGGCAGCAUGGACUUCGGUCUGGUGGCGAGUGGCGAACGGGUGAGUAAUGUAUCGGAACGUGCCCAGUCGUGGGGGAUAACGUAGUGAAAAUUACGCUAAUACCGCAUACGAUCUAUGGAUGAAAGCGGGGGAUCGCAAGACCUCGCGCGAUUGGAGCGGCCGAUAUCAGAUUAGGUAGUUGGUGGGGUAAAGGCCCACCAAGCCAACGAUCUGUAGCUGGUCUGAGAGGACGACCCGCCACACUUGAACUGAGACCAGGUACAGACGACUACGGGAGGCAGCAGUGGGGAAAUUUGGAGAAUGGACGAAAUCCUGAUCCAGCCAUUCCGCGUGCAGGAUGAAUGCCCUCGGGUUGCAAACUGCUUUUGUACAGAACGAAAAGGUUUCUACUAAUACUAGGAGCUCAUGACGGUACUGUAAGAAUAAGCACCGGCUAACUACGUGCCAGCAGCCGCGGUAA
Molecule: ribosomal RNA, 500 nt
Filed under: uncultured bacterium
Lineage: Bacteria
Description: partial 16S ribosomal RNA
Rfam family: Bacterial small subunit ribosomal RNA
Source: RNAcentral